CCAUAUAUGCAUAAUAAACUGAUUUUAUUCAAAAACUUUUUCAAAAGCAAAAGCUUGGGUUUGUGUGUGCGUGAACAAAUGGUUUGAGUAUUGCUGUUUUCGUAUGGUUCCAACAGCAUGGGUUUUUAAGAGAAGAUAUUAUUUUUCAUGCUGUUUUUCUUUGAGAUUUUAAAUUGAAUAUCAAUUAUGGAAAUGAGCCUUGUGAUUUUCGUAAUUGAUUGUUUUCCAAACAAACACUUCAUCAUAUAAACAUUCUGCAUGAUCGAGUUAGUAUCCUGCAAAGUUCGAGGGAAAGGUGAUUGACGGCUGCGUUAGUGUCGUGCCACUUCAACUCGAAGACUGAAGAAAGAUCGAGUAGCAAAGCGUGGAGACAAAGCUGCCAACUGGUCUCGAGAUCCUGAAGAUGUUAUAACAGAAACAAGAUCAAAAAGAUUAGCUUAGCCUGUAGGGCUUACAGGAGCUGCUAUUCGACUGCAGAGGAAAUGUUUUGAAUGGGUUAUGCUGAUCUAUUAUUGGCUUUACUACGAUGCUUUAGCUGAAAUGUCUGAUUCUGAUCCUUUUUCUUGAAUUGUUGUCAAUGUGGACUGGAUGGAUGGUCCACAUGAGACAUCAUCUUCUUCCAACUGCCAUGCCUCAGAUUGCAGUUGUUAGAUUAAUAAGUAGUAUUAGACUAUUAGUUGCGUAGCUGAUGGUUAAAAUCUGUUUUUUUUCACCUGGUGUGCUUCUAUUGCAGGUUCUUAACAAAAUGGGGGAAAUGCUUAAAGCAAAUGGGGCCAACUAUUCCUCUGUGGUUAAAACGACUAUUCUAUACGGAUUUGGUGUUGGAGGUGAAAUUGGAUGUUUGUUAAGUCCAUGCAGGUUGGCUGAUUUGAAAGACUUAAGAAGGCCACUGAAAUCUAUGCAAACUGUAAGAUCUACGGAUACUAUAAGAAACAAUCUGACCUUUAGCAAAUGAAGAAGAUGAAGUAAUAGUCGACGUCAAUGAUUUUCCAUCUCCAACCCCAGCGCGUCCAACAUUUCAGGUAGCGGCGCUGCCUUUGGAUGCCAAGAUUGAAAUUGAGUGCAUCGCAGCAGUGUAACCUCCUAAUAUACAGCUUCUUCUCAGCAACUUAGAAAAUAAUGUAGGAACUAGGAGGUGGCAUCUUUGAGUUUUGAGUUUCACAUUUGUAUUUCCUCCUUGGCCUCCUGCUCGAGGUUAUUAUAACAUCGCUUUUGUAUCUAAAAACUAAAGAGAGAGACCAACCGACGUUAUUGAAAUGGACCUUUCCCUGCUUUUCCUUG
Molecule: long non-coding RNA, 1281 nt
Organism: Malus domestica (apple)
Lineage: Eukaryota; Viridiplantae; Streptophyta; Magnoliopsida; Rosales; Rosaceae
Source: RefSeq, a predicted model, not a curated record